RNAcentral lists this long non-coding RNA (1121 nucleotides) under Oryctolagus cuniculus (rabbit). RNAcentral describes it as "lncRNA (ENSOCUG00000035103.1)". Lineage: Eukaryota; Metazoa; Chordata; Mammalia; Lagomorpha; Leporidae. The record is from RNAcentral.
CCCCAAAUGGUAGAGUUAGAAACUUACCAGGGGACUCCAAUUUAAUCCCAUCAAGGUGGCGUGUACCAAUGCCAUCUCACCAGUCCAAGUGAUCAAUUUCAGUUCACAAUUGAUCAUAAUGAAAGGACUAAGAGUCAAAGGGAGCACAUAAACAAGUCUAGUACCUGCUAAUACUAACUGAUACAAUAAAUAAAGGGGAGAGUGAUCCAACAUGGGAAGUGAGAUACUCAGCAGACUCAUAGAAUUGUGGAUGUCCUAAACAGCACUCUUGCCUGAGAAUCAGCCCUAAAGCAUUCGGAUCUGGGUGAAAAGCCCAUGAGAGUAUUUCAGGCAUGGAAAGCCAAGACACUCUGGCAAUAGAUCUCUGUGAGUGAGAUCCCAGUGGAAAGAACAGGUCAUCAAAGAAGGAGGUACCUUUUUCUGAAGGGAGGAGAGAACCUCCACUUUGACUAUGACCUUGUCUAAACAAGAUAAGAGUCGGUGAACUCAAAAGGCUUCCAUAGCCUUGGAAACUCAUGACUGGUGCAUAGGGAGAUUACUGAUGCCAUAAAUAGGAGUGUCAAUUUGUUAAGUCAACAACAGGAGUCACUGUGCACUUACUCCUCAUGUAGGAUCUCUGUCCUUAAUGUGCUGUACAUUGAGACUUAAUGCUAUAAUGGGUACUCAAACAGUAUAUUUCACUUUGUGUUUCUAUGGGGGUGCAAACUGUUGAAAUCUUUACUUAAUGUAUACUAAACUGAUCUUCUGUAAAAAAAAAAGAAGAAUUAUCAAUUCCCAACUUGACUCUCACUGGGAUUAAACAUGACAAUAGGUCUGAUCUGAUUUCAUCAUCAUUUAAAAAAUCAUCUAUUAUUUUUCACUUUAUGUUUUCAAGUUGGGAGUUGAUAAUUUCUUUUUUUUUUUUUUUUUUACAGAGGAUCAGUUUAGUAUGCAUUAAGUAAAGAUUUCAACAGUUUGCACCCCCAUAGAAACACAAAGUGAAAUAUAUUGUUUGAGUACUCGUUACAGCAUUAAAUUUCAAUGUACAGCACAUUAAGGACAGAGAUCCUACAUGAGGAGUAAGUGCACAGUGACUCCUGUUGUUGACUUUACCAAUUGACACUCCUGUCUAUGGCAUCAGU